Molecule: unclassified non-coding RNA, 424 nt
Filed under: uncultured fungus
Lineage: Eukaryota; Fungi
Description: partial contains small subunit ribosomal RNA, internal transcribed spacer 1, and 5.8S ribosomal RNA
Rfam family: Eukaryotic small subunit ribosomal RNA (bases 1-73)
Source: RNAcentral
UCAAACUUGGUCAUUUAGAGGAAGUAAAAGUCGUAACAAGGUUUCCGUAGGUGAACCUGCGGAAGGAUCAUUACUGAAUAAAGUGUGGCAGGGGGUUGUCGCUGGCAUCCUUGUAAUGCAUGUGCACACCCCUGCCACUCUGUCAUUCACCCUCUCCACCUGUGCAUUAUCUUGUAGGCCAGAUCGCCAUUUUUGUGCUGGCCCUGUUUUAUGGGACUUGCUGUUGCAGCUCUACCUUGUGACAGCUCCUCUUGUAUUUUGGCCCAUCUGGUCUAUGCACCUUUACCCAAACCCCUCUUGUGUUUUUGUAUGUAUGGCAUUCACGGGCUUUUUGUCCCGUCACAUUUAGCUUUGUUAAAGCAUAUGUGUAUACACAACUUUCAACAACGGAUCUCUUGGCUCUCGCAUCGAUGAAGAACGCAGC